UGGCCAGAGUAAGUGUGAAUAUUGAAAAAGAGUUUUCAUGAGAUUCAUAAAUGAAUUUGAGUCGAGCCAAUCUAGUAUAUGACUGACGAUGGAGUUUGAUGAGUUGUCCAUAACCUCUGUCUAGUCGGGACUCACGAUAGAAGGACUGUAUCACAAGGUAACUGCACCUAGGAGUUUACAAGGUGCAAAUUCAAGCCGAGGAACAAAGCUUGCAAGGAUGC
This 221-nucleotide long non-coding RNA is filed under the name Elaeis guineensis (African oil palm). RNAcentral describes it as "long non-coding RNA (EGUI_LNC055945)". The record is from RNAcentral. Lineage: Eukaryota; Viridiplantae; Streptophyta; Magnoliopsida; Arecales; Arecaceae.